This 547-nucleotide ribosomal RNA is filed under the name uncultured bacterium. RNAcentral's name for it is "bacterial SSU rRNA". It matches the Rfam family "Bacterial small subunit ribosomal RNA", at positions 777 to 1314 of the family's 1533-position model. The record is from RNAcentral.
AAUAGAUACCCAGGUAGUCCUGGCCGUAAACGAUGUCGACUAGAUCGCAGUUCCUUCAACGGUAUUGCGGUCGAAGCAAAAGUGCUAAGUCGACCGCCUGGGAAGUACGGUCGCAAGGCUAAAACUCAAAGAAAUUGACGGGGGCUCACACAAGCGGUGGAGCAUGUGGUUCAAUUCGAAGCAACGCGCAGAACCUUACCUGGGCUUGACAUGCUAGGAUUAUCCCUAUGAAAGUAGGGUAGGCCCUUCGGGGUACGAACUAGUACAGGUGCUGCAUGGCUGUCGUCAGCUCGUGUCGUGAGAUGUCGGGUUAAGUCCCUUAACGAGCGAAACCUUUGCCCUUAGUUACUAACGGGUUAUGCCGAGGACUCUAAGGGGACUGCCGGUGUCAAACCGGAGGAAGGUGGAGGAUGACGUCAAGUCCUCAUGGCCUUUAUGCCCAGGGCCACACACGUGCUACAAUGGCGUGGACAAAGCGAGCCUAAAACGCGAGUUCAUGGAAAUCGCAGAAAUCACGCCCCAGUUCAGAUCGGAGGCUGCAACCCCG